This 771-nucleotide ribosomal RNA is filed under the name uncultured bacterium. RNAcentral describes it as "bacterial SSU rRNA". It matches the Rfam family "Bacterial small subunit ribosomal RNA", at positions 8 to 777 of the family's 1533-position model. The record is from RNAcentral.
AGAGUUUGAUCCUGGCUCAGAUUGAACGCUGGCGGCAGGCCUAACACAUGCAAGUCGAGCGCGAAAACACUUCGGUGUGAGUAGAGCGGCGGACGGGUGAGUAAUGCUUGGGAAUCUGCCCAAUAGUGGGGGAUAACGUGUGGAAACGCACGCUAAUACCGCAUACGUCCUACGGGAGAAAGCAGGGGAUCUUCGGACCUUGCGCUAUUGGAUGAGCCCAAGUCAGAUUAGCUAGUUGGUGGGGUAAUGGCUCACCAAGGCGACGAUCUGUAGCUGGUCUGAGAGGAUGAUCAGCCACACUGGGACUGAGACACGGCCCAGACUCCUACGGGAGGCAGCAGUGGGGAAUAUUGCACAAUGGGCGAAAGCCUGAUGCAGCCAUGCCGCGUGUGUGAAGAAGGCUCUAGGGUUGUAAAGCACUUUCAGUGGGGAGGAAAAGCUCAAAAUUAAUACUUUUGAGCCUUGACGUUACCUGCAGAAGAAGCACCGGCAAACUCCGUGCCAGCAGCCGCGGUAAUACGGAGGGUGCGAGCGUUAAUCGGAAUUACUGGGCGUAAAGCGCGCGUAGGUGGUUUGAUAAGCUAGCUGUGAAAGCCCUGGGCUCAACCUGGGAACUGCAGUUAGAACUGUCUGGCUAGAGUAUAGUAGAGGGUGGCGGAAUUUCCUGUGUAGCGGUGAAAUGCGUAGAUAUAGGAAGGAACAUCAGUGGCGAAGGCGGCCACCUGGACUAAUACUGACACUGGGGUGCGAAAGCGUGGGGAGCAAACAGGC